Molecule: long non-coding RNA, 1944 nt
Filed under: Homo sapiens (human)
Lineage: Eukaryota; Metazoa; Chordata; Mammalia; Primates; Hominidae
Description: HSALNT0360746
Source: RNAcentral
AGGGUCUGAUCUCUGCACCCCGGGCCCCCGCGCAGACCCGCGGACGAGCGCUGGGUGGGGAUUUCAACCUGCUCCAGCUGAUGUGCGCGGGGUUUGCACCCCGGGGAGGCGAGGGAGAGAGUCCGGCCACGUCCUGCCAGGCCCCGCCCGCGCCCCCGCUGCCCUCCAGCGCGGAACCCAGGUCCCAGGAGACGCGAGGCGCCCAAGGCCCCGGGAUUCCGAGCCAGUCAACCCCGGGCCGCGACGCUCUGGGAACCACACCCGUCCAGGAAGGCACCUUGGCCAAAGCCGGCUCCUUCGCAGAUGACCCGGGCCAGGGUCCGAGCGCCAGGCUGUGACCCCGCGAGGCUGUUCCACGCUGGCCGCGAGAGACGGAGGGCAGGAGGGGCCCGAAUAGGACAGAGAGAGAGAGAGAGAGAGACAGAAGGAGGCGCACGCGCUCCCCAGGGACCGGGACGCGGUGGUGGGCGGGACCUCGCGGGGGUGGGGGGUGGUCGCAGGACCCAGAAGGCUCAGGACCUUUACGGAUAGGGAGGACCCCGCAGGGGGGAGCGGGGGAGCCCCACGCCCGGCGUCCUCCGGGUGCGAGGGUCUCGGGGAGUCCGAGCCCGGGCCCACGGCCUCUGUCCCGCGGCCACUACCUGCUGGGGGUCCCGGGCCUGGGCCACGCCGGGCUGCCCUCGGGGACUUGCUGCGGCCGUUGAGGGGUCUCCGCGCGCCGCGCAGACUCGCCUCCCAACCCGAGGGCCCGGGCGGCCGCCGCCCAGAGCGUCCAGCGGCAGCGUCUUGCUCUCGAAGGCGUCCUCCACGCAGCGGAACACGCAGCCAAGCUUGGGCCGGGCCAGAGGCCUCGCGGGCUCCUGAGGCUGCCGCGCGGUCACGGCAGGAGCGGGCGACAGAAUCCGGUCUCGGAGCCUCCUGUAGCGAGCCACAGGAGGGAGCCUCCCAGGUGGUCGACCGGAGCCAGGUGCUGCCAGGCACCCGACUGCAGAGCUUGCCCUCCAGGUGAUCUCGCAGUAUCGGUGUUCACAAGCCCUGUAAGGCACUCGGGGUAUCCUGAAGGCUACAGAUUCUGCAAGGGCAGAGACUUUAAGGAACAGCCAUAGUCCUUCUCCAGCUCAAAAUCUGGACCAUGGGCACAAGGUAAACAACACACUGGUGUCAACAAAGGAAUCUGCUAUUUAUGUGGAUUUUUACUUUAGACAAACUAAAGUAUCUAUGUUGUUCUGUGUGUUGAACACAGAGUGUGAUGAUGUUAAUAUAAUGUAAAUGUUGAUGUAACAGUACAUUUCUGGCAACAUUUCAGGGUCCUUCCUCUUGCCUUAUUAGGGGGUGAUGCAUUCAUACAGACUUCCCCUGUUAGAAGAGCUAGCAGUAAGACAGCCCAAGUACUUGGAGGAAAUUCACUCUAGCCCAUUGGUUUGGAAAAGAAGGUAUAGCCUGCAAUUUAGAAAUGCACCUUAUUUUUAAAUACUUGAAUUCUGCUGCUGCUCACUGGACCAGGAGGAGUCAGUGAUAAAUGCUCAUAUUUACCUUUUUGGGGGCAAAAACCCAGUUCUGAAAUGCUGGGUAUUGUAAUCAGAUGUAAAGAAGGUGCCUAUGAUAGACGAGUGAAAACAAUGAUAUCUAAGGAGAGGAACUGACGCUCCAACUAGAUGUGUGCUUUCAGGAAUGGGGCAGAGACGCGAUGCAGUUUGGAUGUUAUUCAGCACAUUCCUUGCACCUUCUCCCGUUCCUAUAUACAUACUUUUUACAUAUAAACAAUUACAACUUCAUAAGGAUUUGGUACAUAUUUACAUGCUUCUCUUUGCCGUAUAGUUUGCCUUAUUAUUAUUACAGAACUGUGAUUAAGAGUGUCUGUGGUGGAUAGAGGUGUAUGAAGUGCUCCAGACAUAUAUACAACAUGCUAAACCAUGAUGACCCAAAUAAACAUGAGGGAUGUGA